Molecule: long non-coding RNA, 430 nt
Filed under: Mytilus galloprovincialis (Mediterranean mussel)
Lineage: Eukaryota; Metazoa; Mollusca; Bivalvia; Mytilida; Mytilidae
Source: RNAcentral
GUAGGAUGAAUUAAAAGUAUAGUACUUAGUAUACAUAUUUAUUUACUUUCAUUUCUGUAUGCCCUUGAAAUUUGACCCUUUGACCUAAAGAUUGAACCCUAUCCUUUAUCUAGUGAAUAUCAACUAAUGGGAUCUAUUGGUUGAAACAUUUAUUUUAGCAACAUAGUAAAAUACAUGUAUGGAUGUAUGUCCUGUUUGUAUAUGUAUGUGAAAAAAUGAAUAAUGUGUUAUAUAGUGGCAAAGAUAUUUGUUUGAGGUUUUUGAAGAAUGUAAACAUAGACAAUAUUUAUAGUUAUGCCAAAUAUUUCCAAUUUUGUCCAAUGUGUUAACACCAGACAUCACAAAAACAGCAUCAGGCUUUAUUGAGUCCAGAGGAUAACUAUUAUUUGAUUUCAUACCAGCAUUAACUACAGCUCACUAAAGAAUACCC